UGGGGAAUAUUGCACAAUGGGCGCAAGCCUGAUGCAGCCAUGCCGCGUGUAUGAAGAAGGCCUUCGGGUUGUAAAGUACUUUCAGCGGGGAGGAAGGUGUUGUGGUUAAUAACCACAGCAAUUGACGUUACCCGCAGAAGAAGCACCGGCUAACUCCGUGCCAGCAGCCGCGGUAAUACGGAGGGUGCAAGCGUUAAUCGGAAUUACUGGGCGUAAAGCGCACGCAGGCGGUCUGUCAAGUCGGAUGUGAAAUCCCCGGGCUCAACCUGGGAACUGCAUCCGAAACUGACAGGCUUGAGUCUUGUAGAGGGGGGUAGAAUUCCAGGUGUAGCGGUGAAAUGCGUAGAGAUCUGGAGGAAUACCGGUGGCGAAGGCGGCCCCCUGGACAAAGACUGACGCUCAGGUGCGAAAGCGUGGGGAGCAAACA
Molecule: ribosomal RNA, 427 nt
Filed under: uncultured bacterium
Lineage: Bacteria
Description: partial 16S ribosomal RNA
Rfam family: Bacterial small subunit ribosomal RNA
Source: RNAcentral